CGUAGGUGGCGAGCGUUAUCCGGAUUUAUUGGGUUUUAAAAGGGUGCGUAGGCGGCUUAAUAAGUCGGUGGUUAAAAAGUAGCAGCUUAACUGUUUUACAUGCCAUCGAUACUGUUGAGCUUGAGAUAUUUGGAGGCAGCUAGAAUUUUCCGGUGUAGCGGUGAAAUGCAUAGAUACCGGAAGGAAUACCAAUUGCGAAGGCAGGUUGCUACGAAUAAACUGACGCUGAUGCACGAAAGCGUGGGGGAUCAAACAGGAUU
This 260-nucleotide ribosomal RNA is filed under the name uncultured bacterium. RNAcentral's name for it is "partial 16S ribosomal RNA". It matches the Rfam family "Bacterial small subunit ribosomal RNA", at positions 526 to 779 of the family's 1533-position model. The record is from RNAcentral.